GUGUCACACACGUGCUCGUGGGCAGGCACGCACAGACCCGUGGCCACACGCGGGAGGAGCCAGACACCCACGGGGACUGCACACACCGGAGGGGCUCACACCAAGGGGCAGACCAGACACCCACACGGCGAGGGCACACGCGCACCCGCCCAGGCCAGACCCAGACAGACCCCACGGGAGGCCCCCCACCCAGAGGCCAGACACGGACCAGGCAGCCAGCAUCCCCUGGGAGGCCACAUCAGACCUCACCGUUCACCCGCGGUCCCAGAACCCGCCCUGUGCAGGCCCCCAGCGAGUGUGUGCACGGUGUGUGCGUGUGUCUCUAUGUGUGUAAAGAGAGACCACCUCCGAGGCCUGAGCCCUGUUCCCACAGGGCAGUGACCCCGCCUCCCCCCCACCAAGCCCCGGCUCUCAGCCCAGGACGCAGGCCUCCAACCACAGCUCGCCCCUCUUACCUGGAGAGAUGGGGGGAUGGAUGCAGAUACCAGCGGGACACCCCGUUGCCUUCAGCGCCGACAGCAGCUGGGAAGGCCCGCCGCGGAGUGGGCAGCGCCCGGACCACCACCUCGACGCCCAGGCCUGGGGCAGCCCCACCGCCAUCGCGGCCAGGUGUUCCACGGAGUUUUCCAGAGGCUACGUGAGGCGUGAUCUCGCGAGAGCUUCAAAGCCCUGGCAGGUGUGAUAACCCAGCUGGCCUUGUGUUAACCUCACUCAAGAGAGCUGCGAAGUGAAACACAAGGCCACUCUUUGGGCUGCUUUGCUGGUUUUAAGACAGAGCUAUUUUUCAUUAAAAAAAAGUGCAUUAUUCCUGUGAGUACAGUGAGUUCGUUGUCAUGAAGCAACGAAUGCAUAAAGACCUCUGUUUUUUCUCAGCUUUAAUUUCCAUCGCUGCAAAUGUCGAUAUACACAUACACAACAGCUCUGGGCCUGCAAUGAUUUUUUAAACGCUAAGGGGCCCUGAGACCCCCAGUGUCUGAGACCUGCUGCCUGAGACACGUGGCUAAUGAUUGAUUACAGCUCCUCUGCGCACCCAGCCUCAGUGGAGGACACACACAGGGAGCGCGUAUUGAGUCCUUUCGGCGCCCAGCCCCCAGCUAAAGGCUUUACAAGGUCAUCUCAGGGAAUCCUCACACCAGCCUUAUGCGGGCGGUAAUGUCAAGGCCGAGGAGGAAACCCAGGCUGAGCUUCAUGGCCAACUCUUUGCAACCCCAUGGACUGCAACACUCCAGGCUUCCCUGUCCACCACCAACUCCCAGAGCUUGCUCAAACUCACGUCCAUUGUGUCAGUGAUGCCACCCAACCAUCUCAUCCUCUGCCGCCCCCUUCUCCUGAUGACGGACAGAGUGCAGCCUGCACGCCCACCUCCUGCCGGUUUCUCAGCCACCUUCCAAGCAGAAGCCACCCCUGUGAUGGGAACUGGGUUAGGAACUGAAGACACACGACAGCUGCCUCAGGGUCAGACCUUAGCUCCGGACACUCAGUGCCUUGGGCACCAGGGCUCCGACCUGCUGAGCCUCAGUCUUCUCGGCAGUACAAUGGGCACAAGAGAGAUUCUUUCUGCAGUGCAAUCAUGAGGUCAAGUGCACGCAUCUGUGAGCUCACUGCCCCAGAGAGCACUGUAGGACGGGGGCUUCACAGGGACCUGUGAGCAAGUCUGGGG
This is a long non-coding RNA of Bos taurus (domestic cattle), 1660 nucleotides long. The record is from Ensembl. Lineage: Eukaryota; Metazoa; Chordata; Mammalia; Artiodactyla; Bovidae.